AAAAUAAAUCCACUGAACAAAUCUCUAUCAACACCAGGAUACUUGAAUUUUCAGUUAUAAACACACCUGCAGUUCCAUCAUGAAUCGCUUGAUGGCAGUGUAAGCAGGUUGACCGUGUGAGGGCAGAAAUCCUGUUGCUCCUCCAUUUGCAUUGAGCAUUUUGACUGCAUCAAGUGCGUCUGACAACUUAAAGAUUUACACGGCAAUCAGCAUGAAAUAAAUCACUCCAGUGAUCUUCAUAUCCGAAAACGGGGGAUAAACCGCGUGAGCUCUGGCAGGCUAUAGUGCUAAGAUGGGAUUGAAAGGGCAUGCGCUGCAUAAAAACAUAUGCCAGAGUAUUUGGCGGUUCUUUCCACUUACUGUGGCGAUCCCUGGUCUAAUCUGAAGGAAAGUGACCUGUAACUGUGAACUAAUUUUAAGUUAUUUUUGUGAAAUGCUACUUUUCUGGAAUUGCAGAACAACCACCUCAUAUACUGUAAGUGUUAAAAUGUAUUUGUGUUAUAUGGGAUUUUUUUUUUUUGCAAAAUUAGCAUGUUUCCAUUGGAUGUAUUCUAAAUUUUCUGUUUCAUGUUGCACAGAUUAAAGGGUAAUCGAAAAGUAUUUGAUCUCUUGUGAUUUCUCUCUCCUCUGUGCUAUUAUAUAUCCUUAACACACUUCACAUUCCCACAUAAUAAACUAUUUAAUUAAAAAUGUAAUAAACAUGUAUUAAAUGCUUCUAAUGCAUACAAUGUCUCAAAAUCCUGUCUGUAAGCAGCUCACUUGUUUUUGAGCACAUAUGCGAAAAGUAAUGACACAUGUGCACAUCUCUUUCACAUACCAACAAAUUAAAUAUUAAACAUACAUUCAUCAGAAGAGCAGGUCUUUCUUGGCAAGAGAGUAAUCAAAAUUGCACCAAGCAGUAGAUGUUAGUCUGCCGAGGUUAUUGACUGCCUCACGAGGUGUGUAGAAAUGAUGAAAUGGUUCAAUGUAUGUAGCAUUUCAACCAUUUCAAGAGCAAAGUAAUGACGCAGAGAAUAUAUAAGGCACGCUCUGUGCAAGAUCUGAACACCACGGUGAAUAGAAACAGAAGAGUUGAAUGAGCACUGGGCCGGACUUCCCACAAUUACUCCCCAUGGGGGCUGCUUGUACGGCAAAACAGCCUGUUAGUUUCUGAAGCACACUAGAUUUUAUUCCCCAGCCUGACUGCUGGUCUUCCAUUGCUGCGAGAUCCAACAGUUUACUCAAUUUUCAACUUUUACACCAAAGCGUCGCUUCCCUCACUCAGGGAAAUGCAUGCUUACCUUCAUUCAGCAGCGUAAAGAGGACAAAACGGCGACAAAUUACAGAGAGGGACAUUAACGCUGACGAACACAACAUGACAAGAAAAUGGUAGAGACUUGCGCCUCCCAGCUCUCUUUCUCGCCCAAAGAGAUUUAAAUAAUAAAAACCGUCGGCCUGUGAACAAACAGGAUAAUUAUGGCCUGCAGUCUUCCUGUCGCUGGUCAGGCACGGCAGAGCAGAAAGAAACACGUUAUUACCACUCAAAGCUUUCUGCCAAGGAAUUAGGCAACAUCAAUGUUUCAUGUAGUCGCCCGGUUUGGAAAGAGACUGAAAAAUCGACACAUUUUGACCAGGCUUUUCUGUGUGCUGUUUUUCUCCCACUGUGAAAGGAAACGUGGGGUCUGAAAAUCCCAAAUAGACUGGAGAAAUUUUUGCACUUGUAAAGAGAGAUUACGAGUUGGAGUAAAUUGCAUGUGAAACUGGCUUGGAUUUGUACAUGCAAAGCGCUUGAAGUUCACGGCGGGUAAA
Molecule: non-coding RNA, 1788 nt
Organism: Danio rerio (zebrafish)
Lineage: Eukaryota; Metazoa; Chordata; Actinopteri; Cypriniformes; Danionidae
Source: RefSeq, a predicted model, not a curated record